GGACGGGUGAGUAAUGCAUCGGAACGUGCCCUGAAGUGGGGGAUAACGCAGCGAAAGCUACGCUAAUACCGCAUAUUCUGUGAGCAGGAAAGCAGGGGAUCGCAAGACCUUGCGCUUUGGGAGCGGCCGAUGUCGGAUUAGCUAGUUGGUGGGGUAAAGGCCUACCAAGGCGACGAUCCGUAGCGGGUCUGAGAGGAUGAUCCGCCACACUGGGACUGAGACACGGCCCAGACUCCUACGGGAGGCAGCAGUGGGGAAUUUUGGACAAUGGGCGGAAGCCUGAUCCAGCCAUGCCGCGUGAGUGAAGAAGGCCUUCGGGUUGUAAAGCUCUUUCGGCGGGGAAGAAAUUGCUUGGGUUAAUACCCUGAGUAGAUGACGGUACCCGAAUAAGAAGCACCGGCUAACUACGUGCCAGCAGCCGCGGUAAUACGUAGGGUGCGAGCGUUAAUCGGAAUUACUGGGCGUAAAGCGUGCGCAGGCGGUUUUGUAAGUCAGAUGUGAAAUCCCCGGGCUCAACCUGGGAACUGCAUUUGAGACUGCAAGACUGGAGUUUGGCAGAGGGGGGUGGAAUUCCACGUGUAGCAGUGAAAUGCGUAGAGAUGUGGAGGAACACCGAUGGCGAAGGCAGCCCCCUGGGCCAAUACUGACGCUCAUGCACGAAAGCGCGGGGAGCAAACAGGAUUAGAUACCCUGGUAGUCCACGCCCUAAACGAUGUCAACUAGGUGUUGGGAGGGUUAAACCUUUUAGUGC
Molecule: ribosomal RNA, 751 nt
Filed under: uncultured bacterium
Lineage: Bacteria
Description: bacterial SSU rRNA
Rfam family: Bacterial small subunit ribosomal RNA
Source: RNAcentral